CAACACUCACUUGGUGGACUUGAGUUUGGGUGAAGUCCGGGAGUUGGUGAUGGACAGGGAGGCCUGGCGUGCUGCGAUUCAUGGGGUCGCAAAGAGUCAGACACGACUGAGCGACUGAACUGAAUUGAACUGAACCACCAUUGGCAUUUGCCGAAUAGGGAAAGGCAUUUCAGAGACGACAAGGCAGCUGACCUAUUGUGCGGGAGCGGUUCAGUAAACAGUGUGGAAGAGUGAUGCGUGGAUGCUAAGGGGUCUUGUGGCCAAGGAAGCCUGGUAGAGUGUGGCGAGGCACAGACGUGGCUGGAUUGCAACUGCCCGCUUCCGCCUGGCCGUCACUCACGUCCUGUGGGUCUUGCAGCUUCUUACCCAUAAAGAUGAACUUCAAAUGUGCAGGCUUCCAAAAGCCACUUGGUCUGGGUGGUUCCUCCUCACGACACCAGUGGUUUUCCUCUGAACUUUUCUCCACCACAUCCUGACCCCCCGGCCCCCAAAUUUCCUGCUUGUUUGCACCCACGUUGAGUCUUCGGAUGUCGAAUUUUUGCAGGCCUGUGUCUGUGUUCUCAGUCCCGUUUUCCCCUGAGGUUCUUGACUUGGGUUCAACCCCCGUGGUUCUCCGUGACCUGAAACACAGUAUUCGUUUCCACUGAAACAUCUGAGAUCUGAUCUGUUUCAGGGGAGCAACGAUUCCCAGGAGAGGGAAACCCAGCCCCAGCGACCUGCAGAAAGAGGCGGCUUUGGCUUCCGUCACGUUGAGUGGUGCGGGUCCAUCAGAAGCUCCAAGGACACCCGUAAGGUAAGCGUUCCUCCCCGCUCUGGAUGUGCGCCUGUUGACCUGAUGCGUUCACGCCCUUUUUUGUUUAAUCACAGUGUGCAGACUGCUUAUUCGAGGGCACCUUCCCUCACAGCCUUGAGUGGUUCCACAUAACCAUCACCAGUUCCUUGGUCUCUCUGCUCAGUCAUUCCUGUGCCUCAUUAAGCAGACUGUGCGUGUAAUUCAUCCACCUUGAACACUGACUCGGCAUCUACUUGGCUAGCUGUUGUGUUGCACCUUUGUUAUUACAAAGAAACAAAUUUAAACAUUAGAAUGGUGCACAUGUAUAGUAAUGAAAUGCUUAACAUUCUGCCCGUGUCGGAGUAGAUCUUAAAGCUAAACUGAACGUCCACGUGCCACUCACGUCAGGAAAGGCAGAGGUGGCGUUUGAUGAUUUUGCCCUGUAUGCCCAGAGGACACAUGGUUGUGACCUUAAUAAAAACGAUGUUUCCUGUAUGACA
This 1272-nucleotide long non-coding RNA is filed under the name Bos indicus x Bos taurus (hybrid cattle). RNAcentral's name for it is "lncRNA (ENSBIXG00005010964.1)". The record is from RNAcentral. Lineage: Eukaryota; Metazoa; Chordata; Mammalia; Artiodactyla; Bovidae.